AAUAUUGGACAAUGGGGGCAACCCUGAUCCAGCCAUGCCGCGUAUGUGAAGAAGGUCUUCGGAGUGUAAAGCACUUUAAGUUGGGAGGAAGGGCUUUAGGCGAAUACCCUGAAGUUUUGACGUUACCAACAGAAUAAGCACAGGCUAACUCUGUGCCAGCAGCCGCGGUAAGACAGAGGGUGCAAGCGUUAAUCGGAAUUACUGGGAGGAAAGGGGGCGUAGGUGGUUCAUGAAAGUGGGUGUGAAAUCCCCGGGCUUAACCUGGGAACUGCUUUCAUAACUGCUGAGCUAGAGUACGGUAGAGGGUAGUGGAAUUUCCUGUGUAGCGGUGAAAUGCGUAGAUAUAGGAAGGAACACCAGUGGCGAAGGCGACUACCUGGACUGAUACUGACACUGAGGUGCGAAAGCGUGGGGAGCAAAC
Molecule: ribosomal RNA, 421 nt
Filed under: uncultured bacterium
Lineage: Bacteria
Description: partial 16S ribosomal RNA
Rfam family: Bacterial small subunit ribosomal RNA
Source: RNAcentral